Molecule: long non-coding RNA, 791 nt
Organism: Perca flavescens (yellow perch)
Lineage: Eukaryota; Metazoa; Chordata; Actinopteri; Perciformes; Percidae
Exons: 2
Source: RefSeq, a predicted model, not a curated record
UUCGCGCGUGUGUAUGUGAGGGAGAAGUGGGCAAAGGCUCCGCCUCACUAAAAAAGCGAGAGAAAAAAAGGAAAAGCAAACUGAUACACACCUCUCAAUUCUGGCAGGAGGAAAAGAAUAGGAGUGUUUAUGAACCGUAUAAGUAAACAGCAGGAUAACCAGACACACCGAGAGCCGACGCUACUUCCCCCCCGUAAAAACCGACACAGGCACCGUUUCCCAGCGCCGGAGAUUGUCCCGUUGCGGUCAGGAUUAAGUUUUUAUGUCAUCUAAAGGUGGAUCAUUAUCUAAAUCCGAGAUAACAAGCGAAUUUGAAAUGCGUAGCCUGCGAUUCUAUUUCUGGAGCCCCCAAAGCCGACGUUUGAACUCUCAGUAAACAUCCAGUCGAGAUAUUCCCUGGUGGCUGGCGGAGUUGGUGUACUGUGAUUACGAUGAUUUGUGCUUGUAGAGAGCACUGUUGUACAUGGCUGAUCUGCUGUACAACAUGCUUGUGUAGGGACUCAUUUGUGUUUCUCUGCCGUAUUAUAACACGCUGGAAAGUGAAGAGGCAAGCUGGGGGAGCAAGUGCACCGAUGCAGGAAUAGAUGAUGGUUUUUUGAAAGCAUAGGUGCUGUCUCUCACUUCCGCUCACCACUUGCUCAUUUGGCAUGUGGUGUUUUUCUUUGGACACAGAAUGCAUGUUAUGUUUAUUUUGUGAGACUGUCUUGCAUUGUUGCAAUGCCCUAUUGUUUGUUGACAUUAUUACUUUAUAAAGAGGAAGAGCACAACAACAGAAUAAAAUGUGAAUCAUG